This 69-nucleotide transfer RNA is filed under the name Ictidomys tridecemlineatus (thirteen-lined ground squirrel). RNAcentral describes it as "Spermophilus tridecemlineatus (thirteen-lined ground squirrel) tRNA". It matches the Rfam family "tRNA". Rfam says of the family: Transfer RNA (tRNA) molecules are approximately 80 nucleotides in length. Their secondary structure includes four short double-helical elements and three loops (D, anti-codon, and T loops). Lineage: Eukaryota; Metazoa; Chordata; Mammalia; Rodentia; Sciuridae. The record is from Rfam by way of RNAcentral.
GGGGUUGUAGCUCAGUGUUAGAGCACUUGUCUUCAAUGCAUGAGGCCCUGGAUUCGAUCCUCAACACCA